Molecule: ribosomal RNA, 451 nt
Filed under: uncultured bacterium
Lineage: Bacteria
Description: bacterial SSU rRNA
Rfam family: Bacterial small subunit ribosomal RNA
Source: RNAcentral
AACGAACGCUGGCGGCAGGCCUAACACAUGCAAGUCGAACGCCCUAGCAAUAGGGAGUGGCGCACGGGUGCGUAACGCGUGGGAAUAUGCCCUUGACUACGGAACAACACAGGGAAACUUGUGCUAAUACCGUAUAAUGUCUCCGGACCAAAGAUUUAUCGGUCAAGGAUUAGCCCGCGUUAGAUUAGCUAGUUGGUGAGGUAAUGGCUCACCAAGGCUACGAUCUAUAGCUGGUCUGAGAGGAUGAUCAGCCACACUGGGACUGAGACACGGCCCAGACUCCUACGGGAGGCAGCAGUGAGGAAUAUUGGACAAUGGGGGGCAACCCUGAUCCAGCCAUGCCGCGUGAGUGAUGAAGGCCUUCGGGUUGUAAAACUCUUUUAGAUGUGACGAUGAUGACGGUAACAUCAGAAAAAGCUCCGGCUAACUUCGUGCCAGCAGCCGCGGUAAU